ACGUAGGGAGCGAGCGUUGUCCGGAAUUACUGGGUGUAAAGGGAGCGUAGGCGGGAGAUCAAGUCAGAUGUGAAAACUAUGGGCUCAACCCAUAACCUGCAUUUGAAACUGUUCUUCUUGAGUGAAGUAGAGGCAGGCGGAAUUCCGAGUGUAGCGGUGAAAUGCGUAGAUAUUCGGAGGAACACCAGUGGCGAAGGCGGCCUGCUGGGCUUUUACUGACGCUGAGGCUCGAAAGCAUGGGGAGCAAACAG
This 251-nucleotide ribosomal RNA is filed under the name uncultured bacterium. RNAcentral's name for it is "partial 16S ribosomal RNA". It matches the Rfam family "Bacterial small subunit ribosomal RNA", at positions 525 to 775 of the family's 1533-position model. The record is from RNAcentral.